CCAUUAGCACCCACAAUGUUUAUGAACUUGUAAAUGAGAAAGAAUAGAUUCUGGAAAGUUUUCUCACCUGAAGAACCUUAUGUGUGGACUGGACUAAGAACAGUACACCUUCUCCUCUACAAGUUGCACCAUGAGAAGUCAACGUAACUCCUACUUGUAACAUCCCAAUAAUUAUAGCAUUAAACUAUAAUAGAGUUCUUACAUCAUUGAUAAAAUAGAACAGUAGACACAAGGAAGAAUAAAAGUUUUUC
RNAcentral lists this long non-coding RNA (251 nucleotides) under Vigna radiata. Its description in RNAcentral is "long non-coding RNA (VRAD_LNC018545)". The record is from RNAcentral. Lineage: Eukaryota; Viridiplantae; Streptophyta; Magnoliopsida; Fabales; Fabaceae.